This is a long non-coding RNA of Oryzias javanicus (javanese ricefish), 1725 nucleotides long. The record is from Ensembl. Lineage: Eukaryota; Metazoa; Chordata; Actinopteri; Beloniformes; Adrianichthyidae.
UGCAGUAACUCAGCUGACAGUAUCACAAACUCUUACCAAUUUCGUAUAGUAAACCUGCAACACAGACACUUUGGUGUGUGUAAUUCUUUGCUUGUCCUACUUUGACAGGUGCCAGAAUUGCAGCCUGUUGUCAGAGACUUCAUCAUGAACAGGACCUUCAAGAUCGUUGGUCCACAACUGGAAAAUUUCAACACAGAGGACUUUUACAUUUGGUUCCAUAUCAAACUGGUAUAUGUCCUUGCAAGUUUCACUCCAGAGAUGCUCCAGCUUACAGUCCAAACAACCAACUGUACAAACUACCACGUAGUUGUGAGUGGCAUGGCCAUGGUGUACUCUUCCAUACCCAAGGAUAGAGUACAAGGACUUGCAAAUGUUCUCCUGGGCUACCUAAAAAAUCUUGCCGGUGAAAUCAACACACCAGGUAAGGGGACAUACCACAAGUUCUGUUGUAUAUAAAUUAUAUACAAUUUAAGCGCUUCAUAAUUUUUUUUUUUUUUUUUUUUUUUUGUUUUGUUUGCAAUUCCUGUAACAUUUUUUUUCAGCUUGUAAACAGGGAAUUCAUAGUGAUGCUCAGUUCAUCGAAACAAACUUGGGUCCCUUUUCAGUCUUUGCAACUUUUUCAGACCUUCAACCCUUUAACCUUUCUCAGGUAUGCUCUCCUUACAUUCAAAGUUUUUGUUUUUACUAUAAUACUAUGUCUUAAAAAAAACUUAUUCAAAUCCAUCCUCGGUAUUGUCUUAUUUUUUUUUUUUCUUUUUUAGGUCUCCAUUGUAGACUCUCUUUCCCCAGCACAGAAAGCUGCUUUUCUUCUUCAGUCAGAGAAUUUGUCCAAUGAAACACUUGUAAUACUUGUAUUCACAAAAUUUACCAACUCAUCUUUAAAUGACCUUGAAUCUUUCUUUGAGAUAUUUGUUAAUAGCUCAGCUGAGGUAUUUUGUCUCUUUUAUAGUAAUUUUUUUUUGCUAAAAUAAUGUGACGCUAACAGCUUCCUGUAUUUUUUUCUCAGCAGACUCUUAAAACUCUUACUCCAGCAGUCCGUGACUCCAUUUUAAAUCUAACGCUGACAGCUUUAGGCCCACAACUAUCUGUCCUAAAUGUCAAGGGCUUCGAGUUGUGGUUCCAGGUUUAUUUAACACCUUUCCUGCCAGGAGUUAAUAAUAGUACUUUGGAAAUUAUUCCAAAAAACAUCGCAUGUAACUCUUACCAACAGAUGUGAGUUUUAAUUUGUUUUUUUCCUCUUAAAAUAGAAUGGUUAAAAUACUAAAGUAUAUAUUUUUUUAUUUUUUUUAAACAAUUGUCUUUCUCCUCUUUUAGUAUCAAAGGCUUUGGAAGUGUCUUGCCUCAGCUUUCUUUGGGUCAAAGUCAAGAAGUUCUCAAGUUUGCGUUAGACUAUCUUGGAGGACAGGAUUUGUCGGGUAAAAUUCACUUUGCUUGCACAAAUCUCAGUUUGUAUUUAGGAUAAUGCACUGAGUCUUAAUAUAAUUAACUUAAUUAAUUAACUUAAAUUUUAGGUCUAUCAUGUGUCCAGUCUGGAAUGGAUGACAGACUGUGGCUGGAGGAUAACUUUGGACAAUUCCUAUCUGAAGCCUCCUUCCACAACUUUUUGUCCUUGAAAAACAACUUCAGAGGAGUGAGUGAAUCCUUCGAAUAAAUUACAUAUGCACACAAACAUAUGACCUAAUAGCUAAAUUUAAGCCACAUAUUAAAGAAUAAAAGCUUGUUUUU